UCCCUCAUAGCUCAGUUGGUAAAGAAUCUGCCUGCAAUGCAGGAGACCCAGGUUUGAUUCCUGGGUUGGGAA
This 72-nucleotide transfer RNA is filed under the name Muntiacus reevesi (Reeves' muntjac). It matches the Rfam family "tRNA". From Rfam's summary of the family: Transfer RNA (tRNA) molecules are approximately 80 nucleotides in length. Their secondary structure includes four short double-helical elements and three loops (D, anti-codon, and T loops). The record is from Rfam by way of RNAcentral. RNAcentral also lists the same sequence under 10 other names. Lineage: Eukaryota; Metazoa; Chordata; Mammalia; Artiodactyla; Cervidae.